RNAcentral lists this non-coding RNA (99 nucleotides) under uncultured Mycoplasma sp. The record is from RNAcentral. Lineage: Bacteria; Bacillati; Mycoplasmatota; Mollicutes; Mycoplasmatales; Mycoplasmataceae.
CUUUUCUAAGUAAUGGAGAAUUAUAGGAAAAAUUUUCUAUAAAGUGCCACAGAGACGUAGUUUUGCAGAAAUGCAAAAAGUGAAACGCGGUAAACUCCG